This 1149-nucleotide long non-coding RNA is filed under the name Salmo trutta (river trout). Its description in RNAcentral is "lncRNA (ENSSTUG00000033775.1)". The record is from RNAcentral. Lineage: Eukaryota; Metazoa; Chordata; Actinopteri; Salmoniformes; Salmonidae.
AUGUUAAUUAUACCCAAACACAGACCUAUAAAUAGUAAAACCACAAAAACUGAUCAUUAUGCAGUGGUCUCUAGUUUUUCCAGAGCUGUGUGUUUACGCUGUGUGUGUUUACGCUGUGUGUGUUUACGCUGUGGGUGUUUACGCUGUGUGUGUUUACGCUGUGUGUGUUUACGCUGUGUGUGUUUACGCUGUGUGUGUUUACGCUGUGUGUGUUUACGCUGUGCGUGCGUGUGUGUGUGUGUUUACGCUGUGCGUGUGUGUUUACGCUGUGUGUUUACGCUGUGUGUUUACGCUGUGUGUGUGUGUGUGUGUUUACGCUGUGUGUGUGUGUGUGUGUUUACGCUGUGUGUGUGUGUUUACGCUGUGUGUGUGUGUGUGUGUUUACGCUGUGUGUGUGUGUGUGUGUUUACGCUGUGUGUGUGUGUGUGUGUUUACGCUGUGUGUGGUGUGUGUGUGUUUACGCUGUGUGUGUGUGUGUGUUUACGCUGUGUGUGUGUGUGUGUUUACGCUGUGUGUGUGUGUGUGUGUUACGCUGUGUGUGUGUGUGUGUGUUUACGCUGUGUGUGUGUGUGUGUGUUUACGCUGUGUGUGUGUGUGUGUUUACGCUGUGUGUGUGUGUGUGUGUUACGCUGUGUGUGUGUGUUUACGCUGUGUGUGUGUGUGUUUACGCUGUGUGUGUGUGUGUUUACGCUGUGUGUGUGUGUUUACGCUGUGUGUGUGUGUGUGUUUACGCUGUGUGUGUGUGUGUGUUACGCUGUGUGUGUGUUUACGCUGUGUGUGUGUUUACGCUGUGUGUGUGUGUUUACGCUGUGUGUGUGUGUUUACGCUGUGUGUGUGUGUUUACGCUGUGUGUGUGUGUUUACGCUGUGUGUGUGUUUACGCUGUGCGUGCGUGUGUGUUUACGCUGUGUGCGUGCGUGUGUGUUUACGCUGUGUGCGUGCGUGUGUGUUUACGCUGUGUGCGUGCGUGUGUGUUUACGCUGUGUGCGUGCGUGUGUGUUUACGCUGUGUGUGUGGCGGUGGUGUGUUUACGCUGUGUGCGUGCGUGGGUGUUGUUACUGCUGGUGCGUGCUGUGGUGGUUGUACGCUGUGUGUUUACGCCUGUGUGGGUGUGUUUGAAUCGCUGGUGUUUACGCUGUGUGUGUGUUGA